Molecule: long non-coding RNA, 1215 nt
Filed under: Mus spicilegus (steppe mouse)
Lineage: Eukaryota; Metazoa; Chordata; Mammalia; Rodentia; Muridae
Description: lncRNA (ENSMSIG00000032149.1)
Source: RNAcentral
CUGGGCUGCACCAGCAGGUUGCAGGCAGGCCUCUGACUUCUCUGGGGCUUUGGGACAGCAGCAUGGGGCAGGACUAAGGUGGUUAGGUGUGAGAAUGGAGGUCUGGACAGACACCAGGCUGCUCAUUGCCACCAGAAGUUUGGCUUUUCCCUGAUCUCUCCCAUCCUGUGCCCCUCUGGGCUUCUGUAGUUUCUCUCAUAAGAUCUGCCAUGGUCCCCUUGCUCACAGAGUCCCCUGAAGAGCUGCCUGUCCUAAUACAGACCUAGGCUGGAGUGCAGAGCAGCCUCAAGGAACCUCUCCUAGCGACAGCUAGACAGCUACAGAGGACAGCGCAGGGUCUUGCCUUGACUUCCACCUGCUCCCUCAUCCUUGGCAUCCCCUUCAAGGCUGAGCUGACAUCACUCAGGGCUACUUGCUUCUCAACCAAGAAAGUACCAUCCUUUUGGGCUUACUCCACCUGACAAGGGUUUGGGCCAAGAUCAACAAUGUGUUGCAGUUGAAGCCUGCCAAACGUGACACUCAAAUGCCCAACAAAUAUCCUGUUCCUUGUGCACCUCUGACCCCAGAGUCUGCCCAGAGCCUGCCUGACAUGAGGAAGAUACGGAGAUGUUUUAGGAGGCAAGGUGGGCCACUCUAAAGAUACGGCUAUGUGCCUCUUGCUAUAGGAUUAAAGGAGCCUACACAUUCUCCUCCUGCAAGGAAGGCAUCAUCAAAGCACCUUGUAGGAUGUGUGGAUUGAGGCUACAGAUUCAAGACAGACACCAUUAGUGGCUCUGUCCUAGCUUUCCAUGCUGGUGUUCCUGGGGGCUCCGUGAUUUCUCUGGCUGACAUCAAGAGAGCAGGAAAACUACUCAAGGCAUGUGCUGAAAGAAUCAGCGGCCAUGCUGUUGGGAUAGUGCCUUUCCCUGUUUUCUUUCUCUGUUCUAGCUUUCAUUUCUCCUAGGCCUACAUUUUCUUUCCUGGUCACCCACUCUCCCCCAACUCUGUCCUCCUUCCCUCUUUUCUCAGGAAGGAAAGCUGCUUCAUGUCCACAAUGCCCCUCUGCUGUCCCUAAAGUUCUGUUCUGGAAAUGAGCCCUCCUGUAGCAUUAUGACAUCACUGUGCAUUAGCUAGUGGCUGCCCAUGUGGGCUGGGCCCUUGCCCUACUAGGAGCCGUGACAGAGUUACCUAUUGGGCCCUACACCUUCAGGGCAACUCCCAGAGCAUGGAUCCCUC